Staphylococcus chromogenes is the source of this 73-nucleotide non-coding RNA. The record is from Rfam. Lineage: Bacteria; Bacillati; Bacillota; Bacilli; Caryophanales; Staphylococcaceae.
AGCUACAUACAACCGCUCAAAUAUAGGUUAUAAGUACAUUCGUCACCUAUAUAUGGCGUGACUUAAUUAUAGG